UAUUCAAAAAUGACUCUCGGCAAUGGAUAUCCCAGCUCUCGCAUCGAUGAAGAAUGUAGCGAAAUGCGAUACUUGGUGUGAAAUGCAUAAUCCCAUUAACCAUCGAGUCUUUGAACGCAAGUUGCACCCGAGGCCCCUGAGCCAAGGGCACGCCUGCCUGGGCGUCAUGCAUCAUUGCCCCUCCCUCCCUUGCCCCAUUAGGUGUUGGAGAGUUGGUGCAGAUGUUGGCCUCCCGUUCCGUUUUGGUGCGGUUGGCCCAAAUGAUGGCCCCCGACAACAAAGUGCCACCACGGUUGGUGGUUCAAUCUUAGGUGGUGGAAUGCUGGACGUCGUGAUGGUUGUGUUGUCAUUGGGGUGUCGAGUACAUGACCCGAUGAGGGAUCCAUUGUUGACGGAGCCUUCCUUGCGACCCUUGGUCAGGCGGGGCCAUCCUCUGAAUUUAUGCAUUUCAAUAAGCGGAGGAAAAGAUACUAACAAGGGUUCCCCUAGUAAUGGCGAGCGAACUGGGAUCCAGUCAGCUUGAGAAUCGGGCGACCUUCGUCGUCCGAAUUGUAGUCUGUAGAAGCGUCCUUAGCAACGGACCGGGGCCAAGUCCCCUAGAAGGGGGCGCCAGAGAGGGUGAGAGCCCCGUCGUGCUCGGACCCUGUUGCACCACGAGGCGCUAUUGGCGAGUCGGGUUGUUUGGGAAUGCAGCUCCAAUUGGGCGGUAAAUUCCUUCCAAGGCUAAAUACUAGCGAGAGACCGAUAGCGAACAAGUACCGCGAGGGAAAGAUGAAAAGGACUUUGAAAAGAGAGUCAAAGAGUGCUUGAAAUUGUCGGGAGGGAAGCGGAUGGGGGCCGGCGAUGCUCCCCGGUCGGAUGUGGAACGGUGAAAGCCGGUCUGCCACUCGGCUCGGGGAGCGGACUGAUGCGGAUUGCAGCGACGCCCCAAGCCCGGGUUGUCGCGUUAUGCCCGUGGAGACGUCGUCGUCCCGAUCGUGGAAGGCAGCACGCACCUUUAGGCGUGCCUUGGCACCUACGUUCUUCGGAUAUCGGCUUUUGGGCUCCCCAUUCGACCCAUCUUGAAACACGGACCAAGGUGUCGGACAUGCAUGCGAGUCAACGGGUGAGUAAACCCGUAAGGCACAAGGAAGCUAAUUGGCGGGAUCCCUUUGUGGGUUGCACUGCUGACCGACCUAGAUUUUCGGAGGCGGGGCAUCGCCCCUCCUUUUGGACCCAAGGCUCGCCUCAGUGGGCUGAUCCGGGCGGAAGACAUUGUCAAGUGGGGAGUUUGGCAGGGGCGGCACAUCUGUUAAAAGAUAAUGUAGGUGUCCUAAGAUGAGCUCAACGAGAACAAAAAUCUCGUGUGGAACAAAAGGGUAAAAGCUCGUUUGAUUCUGAUUUCUAGUACGAAUACGAACUGUGAAAGCGUGGCCUAUCGAUCCUUUAGACCUUCAGAAUUUGAAGCUAGUGGUGUCAAAAGUUACCACAGGGAUAACUGGCUUGUGGCAGCCAAGCGUUCAUAGCGACGUUGCUUUUUAAUCCUUCGAUGUCGGCUCUUCCUAUCAUUGCGAAGCAGAAUUCGCCAAGUGUUGGAUUGUUCACCCACCAAUAGGGAACGUGAGCUGGGUUUAGACCAUCGUGAGAUAGGUCAGUUUUACCCUAUUGAUGAUAGUGUCGCAAUAGUAAUUCAACCUAGUAUGAGAGGAACUGUAGAUUCACACAAUUGGUCAUCGGGCUUGGUUGAAAAGCCAGUGGCGCGAAGCUACCGUGUGCCGGAUUAUGACUCAAUGCCUCUAAGUCAGAGUCCUGGCUAAACAUGCGAUGCGUGUGCCCGUUGCUCGAUUGCCGACUCGUAGUAGGUUCCUCUAGGCCCCCAAAGGCACGUGCCAUUGGUGAAUUCCUCGUGAUGGAUGACCCACGUGGGCCGCCUUUAAGCGCAAUUCCCACUGGGCGGGGUAGAAUCCUUUGCAGACGACUUAAAUACGUGACGGGGUAUUGUAAGUGGCAGAGUGACCUUGCUGCCACAAUCCACUGAGAUUCAGCCCUCUGUCGCAUCGAUUUGUCCCUCCCCC
RNAcentral lists this ribosomal RNA (2054 nucleotides) under Nelumbo nucifera (sacred lotus). Its description in RNAcentral is "eukaryotic LSU rRNA". The stretch from base 407 to 2045 matches the Rfam family "Eukaryotic large subunit ribosomal RNA". The record is from RNAcentral. Lineage: Eukaryota; Viridiplantae; Streptophyta; Magnoliopsida; Proteales; Nelumbonaceae.